CUGCAGAUCUUCAAGAGCUCGUUACAAUCCAAAAGCCUCGCCGCCUCUUCUAUGUCCACAAUCUUGCUCUGAGUGAUUACCACUUUCCCUGUGUAGACAAAUUCCAAAAACGUGGAAAAGUCCCCGGGCUGCAUGAUGGAAAGCGGGAUGUUGUCCCGUGCACCACCGUCCCGAGAGAGGAAUAUGUUUUUAAAGUAACCGCUGGAGGCGGCAAGGAUCACCUGGUGCGCCUGGAAAGCCUGCACGUCUCCCUGGUAGUCCACCUGCACGGUGACGUCACUGAGGAGACCUUGCAGUCUCAGGUUGUGCAGAGAGUCCAGGAUGUGCUCGUGGUGGGAAGUAGAGCGCUGUGACAUAUGAAACAUUCCCAGCAUGUAGUGAGACGUCAUCACGUGUCUGACAACAUGCGUAAACUAGCAGGCGAGUAGACUUGCCUGGGGUCACCGAAUGUUUGUUGAAACGGUUCGAAGGCAGAACAGGAAGUGGAAGAGGUCACAUGAUCCACCAGCUGACUUGCAACAGUACUUCCCUGUGUGCAUCCCCGAGUCAAGCUGUGCGUCUUGUGCUCCCGGAUCUUCCCUGCUUCCCCCGCGCUUCCUGGUUCUCGACUCCUCGCUCGCCCCCGGACUACGACGACUCGCUCCUGCCUCUCGACCACGCUUCCGCCCUUGGACAUCCCUGCCUGCCUUGCCCCUUGUUUGACAGCACCGCUCCUCCCAACACGCACCUCCAACAUUUACGGUAAAACGUUCCAGAUAAAUACUACACAUAGUCUUACACCAUACACACUCUUGGAUUUUGUCACACUCCAUUUCCUUUUGGUUAAUAUUAUUAUUGUCUUAUUGUUAUAUAUAUACCGUAUAUUACCAAAUAGUAGCCCGGGCGUUUAUUUUACAAAAUGGGGUCAGACCCCGGGCGGCUAUUAGGACAUGGGCGGUUAUUUGCACAAGGCUUUUAUUUAUUUUUGCACCAGCCUGCACCAGGCCAUUAUUUGGUUACAAUGGUUACUGUCCAGUAUUUUUUUUUCGUACAAACAAUUUUAAAUGUAAAAGCUAUUGUAAACAUACAAACAAAAAAACAAGACUAUCAAAAGACAAGAGAUCAACAAGGCCUCAACAUGGCAGUACUGCAACAAUUGUCAAAUAGAAUACCAAUACUAAAAAUAAAUACACUUUUUAAAUAAAGCAGCCUACUGGGAAAAAUAAAAUUAUGGUACCAAGUACUCAAGUAUUAAAAAACACACCAUCAAAACAGAACAAUAAUAUUGUCACUUAAAUAAAAUAAAGGCUACAGUACUCAAAGUUUUGAAUAAAGCAGCAUACAGGAAAAAUACAAUUAUGGUACCAAGUACUCUAUAAAACCAUCAAAACAAUAAUACUGCAGCAAACGCAACCCCAAAUGCAACUCAACCCCACUCAUCAUCCUCCUUCUCCUCCUCCUCUCCCUCACCCCCCUCAUCAUCAUCCUCCUUUUCAAUCACAAGUUCAUUGAGGAACUGCUGUUCUUCAUCACUCUCCUCCUCUUCCUGAACCACAGCAGCAGCCUGCUGUCUAGCCCUCAACAGCAUCUCUCUGCCUGCCUGACAUGGCUGUCCCUCCUUGAGGCAGUAAAUGAGCUGGUCCUCACUCCCAUCAGCUGCCACCGUCAGCCCACACACCUUGUAGGAUACCAGAAAGCAACAUUCAGCUAUGGCUACUGUUUGCAACACACACACACACACGAUUAAGCCAGCCACUUGUUGCACCAAACACCACCCCGGUGUCACUCGCGGUGACAUACAACUCCUUUGCCUUAAUGCGGAUCAUUUUGCGGGACACACGGUGGUUCAGUCCACGAACGUGAUGUAUCCAGUGACACAAAUUAGCAUCAAGCUCGUCGCUCACUUUCUUCCUACCUCCAUCCGGGGGGGGCGUUUUCCAUCGAUUGCCGACUGAGAUAGUAGUUCUCCCUUUUUUUGUUUCCAUUCUUGUACACGUUUUGGGUCAACGUUAAACUGCCUGGCCGCUGCCAAACCAGAAUUCUGCUCCGUAUACUUCACAAUCGCUAGCUUGAACUUUAAGUCAAGUCAAACUUUCUCUUCUUCCCCCUUAAAGUAUUCCCGUCCAUCAGUUGUGGUGUAGCGGUAUCCUGUUCAUUCAACUCACUGCUACUUUUGCUUUCCAUGUUGAAACUUUUCCUCGUGGGUUUGUUGUGUGUUACGCUAUAUGCGGUGACCUAUUGCAAUAUGUUGAUUACCCAGAAUCCCCACGUGACGUCUGCUGUUACCGUAAUGACCAGAA
This is a long non-coding RNA of Entelurus aequoreus (snake pipefish), 2279 nucleotides long. RefSeq lists it as uncharacterized. The transcript is spliced from 4 exons. The record is from RefSeq and is a predicted model, not a curated record. NCBI's taxonomy places the organism in Eukaryota, Metazoa, Chordata, Actinopteri, Syngnathiformes, Syngnathidae.